This is a small nuclear RNA of Loxodonta africana (African savanna elephant), 107 nucleotides long. The record is from Ensembl. Lineage: Eukaryota; Metazoa; Chordata; Mammalia; Proboscidea; Elephantidae.
GUGCUUGCUUCAGCAGCACAUAUACUAAAAUUGCAACGAUAUAGAGAAGAUUAGCAUGGCCCCUGCACAAGGACUGCAUGCAAAUUCAUUAAGUUUUCCAUUUUUUU